RNAcentral lists this ribosomal RNA (260 nucleotides) under uncultured bacterium. RNAcentral's name for it is "partial 16S ribosomal RNA". It matches the Rfam family "Bacterial small subunit ribosomal RNA", at positions 793 to 1055 of the family's 1533-position model. The record is from RNAcentral.
GUCCACGCUGUAAACGAUGAAUGCUAGGUGUCGGGGCGAGAGUUUCGGUGCCGGAGUUAACACAAUAAGCAUUCCGCCUGGGGAGUACGGCCGCAAGGCUGAAACUCAAAGGAAUUGACGGGGGCCCGCACAAGCGGUGGAGUAUGUGGUUUAAUUCGACGCAACGCGAAGAACCUUACCAAGACUUGACAUGGAAAUGACCGGCUAAGAAAUUAGCUUUCCCUUCGGGGCAUUUCACACAGGUGGUGCAUGGUUGUCGU